CUCUGGUUCAAUAGCAUUUCAUUUAAACCAAUCAGAAUAGUCAUGAGCGGUGCUAAACUCCUUACAGAGCCGCUGCAAAAUAGUUGUGCGAGAGAAAACUCUCUGGACAGAUAGUCUAGCUAGCUGUCUCAAUUUACCCUGCAGAGAUCUGAGGAGCAGUUAACCAUAGUCCUCAGAAAUCCACCGAAUUUAAAAUUCCAGCACAAAAAAAGUGGAAGGAAACAUCCGGCGGAAUUUCCUGCAGCACC
Sander lucioperca (pikeperch) is the source of this 248-nucleotide long non-coding RNA. RefSeq lists it as uncharacterized. Lineage: Eukaryota; Metazoa; Chordata; Actinopteri; Perciformes; Percidae. The record is from RefSeq and is a predicted model, not a curated record. The transcript is spliced from 3 exons.